RNAcentral lists this long non-coding RNA (210 nucleotides) under Ananas comosus (pineapple). RNAcentral's name for it is "long non-coding RNA (ACOM_LNC037560)". Lineage: Eukaryota; Viridiplantae; Streptophyta; Magnoliopsida; Poales; Bromeliaceae. The record is from RNAcentral.
UCCUUUUGGCAGGUUCGAGAGCGUCGAACAGACGUCGAACGGACAGAGCCUCCCCUAUCCGCCCAAGGCUCAACAACAAGUAUCAAUAGAGUAUAAAGUUUGCAUAAGCGGAAGCAUACACAAUGGCUUGCACGAGGGCAAGCAAUAGCCAAUAGUGAAAGUAAAUAACUACACUUAGGAAAUCAAUUACAAUUUUGUAUCAUUUCUUUU